Long non-coding RNA from Tribolium castaneum (red flour beetle), 810 nucleotides. RefSeq lists it as uncharacterized. The transcript has 3 exons. Lineage: Eukaryota; Metazoa; Arthropoda; Insecta; Coleoptera; Tenebrionidae. The record is from RefSeq and is a predicted model, not a curated record.
UGUUAUUUUUAAUUCUUACAAGUAUUUUUUCAAAAAAUAGCAACUGAUAAAGAUAAUUUAAAUAAGCCGCCGAAACUCAACUUUGAACAAUAUGGCGUAAGUGACGUCAUUGAAGUAAACAAUCAUCAAGUGUCAUAAACUCAUAAACAAGUUAAUAGUUAUUUUUGUGAAUUUUUGCUGUUAGUCAAGAAAAAAAAUGUACAAAUGGUGUGUGGUGACAGUGUUCUACAAAUGUUGCUAUAAAGACACCCAGUAAACUAUUCGCAAAUGUGCCGAAAAAGCCCCAAGACUUGCAAAAGUGGUUAUACCUACAACUCGCUCGCAAAAUCCUGAUGUUGUUAGAAUUGUUGUUUUUUGUCAAGAUCAUUUUGAUUAAGUAGGUCUAUUCUAAGAAGAAGAGGGAACGAAGAGGACGCCCAGGGUAAGUGAAUUUUAAUUUUUUCUAAUUGAGGUGAAGUGUGUGAAAAUGUGAGUGCAACAUUUUAGAACACAGUAAGUAUUUAUAAGUAUCCAAAUAUGAGUGAAAAUUAAUUGAUUGUGUUGUAGAUGAAACGUAAUUCUUUCAAAGUUUUUGAAGAAAACUUCCAGACUUUUGACGAAACAUCUCUUAAAUAAUGAAGAAAAACAUUUACAGCAAGAUCGAGACUAAGUAUAUUAUAACUCUAGUGAUAUAAGUGUGUGUUGUGGACUUUCAAGUGCUUAACAGACUUUUAGUAGUGCGCGAUUUUCUAAAUUUCGUGUGAUUAAAGUGCCAAUGGAAGGGAUCUUCAGGGAACCUGGACGCUAUAAUCGUGCUACAAGGAUCAGGAU